CCCCGAUCAUAUGCAUUGCAUAAUAUAUAUCAAUGUUCGCUUCGUUUAUUUUAUUUAAAAAUAAAUUUAACUAUAAAUGUGAAUCAAGUAGGAUUCGAAUUAGGGAUCUUGGGUACCAACUACCAAGUUCUUUACCACUUGCGCUAGGAACGGUCGGUAUAAUAUAUAUCAGUGUUAGUAUGUGUGUCUGUCGGCUUCGAGUCCGAACCUGA
This 212-nucleotide long non-coding RNA is filed under the name Ananas comosus (pineapple). RNAcentral describes it as "long non-coding RNA (ACOM_LNC038732)". The record is from RNAcentral. Lineage: Eukaryota; Viridiplantae; Streptophyta; Magnoliopsida; Poales; Bromeliaceae.